Molecule: ribosomal RNA, 1115 nt
Filed under: Aphyllophorales sp. DIS 178a
Lineage: Eukaryota; Fungi; Basidiomycota; Agaricomycetes; Polyporales
Description: eukaryotic LSU rRNA
Rfam family: Eukaryotic large subunit ribosomal RNA
Source: RNAcentral
AGCAUAUCAAUAAGCGGAGGAAAAGAAACUAACAAGGAUUCCCCUAGUAACUGCGAGUGAAGCGGGAAAAGCUCAAAUUUAAAAUCUGGCGGUCUUCGAUCGUCCGAGUUGUAGUCUGGAGAAGUGUCUUCCGCGCUGGCCCGUGUACAAGUCUCUUGGAACAGAGCGUCAUAGAGGGUGAGAAUCCCGUCUUUGACACGGACUACCAGUGCUUUGUGAUGCGCUCUCAAAGAGUCGAGUUGUUUGGGAAUGCAGCUCAAAAUGGGUGGUAAAUUCCAUCUAAAGCUAAAUAUUGGCGAGAGACCGAUAGCGAACAAGUACCGUGAGGGAAAGAUGAAAAGCACUUUGGAAAGAGAGUUAAACAGUACGUGAAAUUGCUGAAAGGGAAACGCUUGAAGUCAGUCGCGUCGUCUAGAAAUCAACCUGGCAUUCGCUCGGUGCAUUUUCUAGUUGACGGGCCAGCAUCAGUUUUGACCGUUGGAGAAAGGCCUUUGGAAUGUGGCACCUUCGGGUGUGUUAUAGCCUUGGGUCGUAUACAACGGUUGGGACUGAGGUUCGCAGCACGCCUUUUGGCCGGGGUUCGCCCACGUACGUGCUUAGGAUGCUGGCGUAAUGGCUUUAAACGACCCGUCUUGAAACACGGACCAAGGAGUCUAACAUGCCUGCGAGUGUUUGGGUGGAAAACCCGAGCGCGUAAUGAAAGUGAAAGUUGGGAUCUCUGUCGUGGAGAGCACCGACGCCCAUACCAGACCUUCUGUGACGGAUAUGCGGUUGAGCAUGUAUGUUGGGACCCGAAAGAUGGUGAACUAUGCCUGAAUAGGGUGAAGCCAGAGGAAACUCUGGUGGAGGCUCGUAGCGAUUCUGACGUGCAAAUCGAUCGUCAAAUUUGGGUAUAGGGGCGAAAGACUAAUCGAACCAUCUAGUAGCUGGUUCCUGCCGAAGUUUCCCUCAGGAUAGCAGAAACUCGUAUCAGAUUUAUGUGGUAAAGCGAAUGAUUAGAGGCCUUGGGGUUGAAACAACCUUAACCUAUUCUCAAACUUUAAAUAUGUAAGAACGAGCCGUCACUUAAUUGGACCGCUUGGCGAUUGAGAGUUUCUAGUGGGCCAUUUUUGGUA